GACGAACGCUGGCGGCGUGCCUAACACAUGCAAGUCGAGCGGGGAACGGAUGGUAGCUUGCUACUGUUUGUUUCUAGCGGCGGACGGGUGAGUAACGCGUGAGCAACCUGCCUUUAUCAGGGGGAUAACGCAUCGAAAGAUGUGCUAAUACCGCGUAAGACCACAGCUUCACAUGGAGUGGGGGUCAAAGGAGCAAUCCGGAUAAAGAUGGGCUCGCGUCCGAUUAGCUAGUUGGUGAGAUAACAGCCCACCAAGGCGACGAUCGGUAGCCGACCUGAGAGGGUGAUCGGCCACAUUGGAACUGAGAGACGGUCCAGACUCCUACGGGAGGCAGCAGUGGGGAAUAUUGGGCAAUGGGCGAAAGCCUGACCCAGCAACGCCGCGUGAGGGAAGAAGGGUUUCGGCUCGUAAACCUCUGUCCUAUG
This 425-nucleotide ribosomal RNA is filed under the name uncultured bacterium. RNAcentral's name for it is "bacterial SSU rRNA". It matches the Rfam family "Bacterial small subunit ribosomal RNA", at positions 28 to 442 of the family's 1533-position model. The record is from RNAcentral.